CGCUGGCGGCGUGCCUAAUACAUGCAAGUCGUACGCUUCUUUUUCCACCGGAGCUUGCUCCACCGGAAAAAGAAGAGUGGCGAACGGGUGAGUAACACGUGGGUAACCUGCCCAUCAGAAGGGGAUAACACUUGGAAACAGGUGCUAAUACCGUAUAACAAUCGAAACCGCAUGGUUUUGAUUUGAAAGGCGCUUUCGGGUGUCGCUGAUGGAUGGACCCGCGGUGCAUUAGCUAGUUGGUGAGGUAACGGCUCACCAAGGCCACGAUGCAUAGCCGACCUGAGAGGGUGAUCGGCCACAUUGGGACUGAGACACGGCCCAAACUCCUACGGGAGGCAGCAGUAGGGAAUCUUCGGCAAUGGACGAAAGUCUGACCGAGCAACGCCGCGUGAGUGAAGAAGGUUUUCGGAUCGUAAAACUCUGUUGUUAGAGAAGAACAAGGAUGAGAGUAACUGUUCAUCCCUUGACGGUAUCUAACCAGAAAGCCACGGCUAACUACGUGCCAGCAGCCGCGGUAAUACGUAGGUGGCAAGCGUUGUCCGGAUUUAUUGGGCGUAAAGCGAGCGCAGGCGGUUUCUUAAGUCUGAUGUGAAAGCCCCCGGCUCAACCGGGGAGGGUCAUUGGAAACUGGGAGACUUGAGUGCAGAAGAGGAGAGUGGAAUUCCAUGUGUAGCGGUGAAAUGCGUAGAUAUAUGGAGGAACACCAGUGGCGAAGGCGGCUCUCUGGUCUGUAACUGACGCUGAGGCUCGAAAGCGUGGGGAGCAAACAGGAUUAGAUACCCUGGUAGUCCACGCCGUAAACGAUGAGUGCUAAGUGUUGGAGGGUUUCCGCCCUUCAGUGCUGCAGCUAACGCAUUAAGCACUCCGCCUGGGGAGUACGACCGCAAGGUUGAAACUCAAAGGAAUUGACGGGGGCCCGCACAAGCGGUGGAGCAUGUGGUUUAAUUCGAAGCAACGCGAAGAACCUUACCAGGUCUUGACAUCCUUUGACCACUCUAGAGAUAGAGCUUCCCCUUCGGGGGCAAAGUGACAGGUGGUGCAUGGUUGUCGUCAGCUCGUGUCGUGAGAUGUUGGGUUAAGUCCCGCAACGAGCGCAACCCUUAUUGUUAGUUGCCAUCAUUCAGUUGGGCACUCUAGCAAGACUGCCGGUGACAAACCGGAGGAAGGUGGGGAUGACGUCAAAUCAUCAUGCCCCUUAUGACCUGGGCUACACACGUGCUACAAUGGGAAGUACAACGAGUCGCGAAGUCGCGAGGCUAAGCUAAUCUCUUAAAGCUUCUCUCAGUUCGGAUUGUAGGCUGCAACUCGCCUACAUGAAGCCGGAAUCGCUAGUAAUCGCGGAUCAGCACGCCGCGGUGAAUACGUUCCCGGGCCUUGUACACACCGCCCGUCACACCACGAGAGUUUGUAACACCCGAAGUCGGUGAGGUAACCUUUUGGAGCCAGCCGCCUAAGGUGGGAUAGAUGAUUGGGGUGAAGU
Molecule: ribosomal RNA, 1480 nt
Filed under: Enterococcus durans
Lineage: Bacteria; Bacillati; Bacillota; Bacilli; Lactobacillales; Enterococcaceae
Description: bacterial SSU rRNA
Rfam family: Bacterial small subunit ribosomal RNA
Source: RNAcentral